GCGGACGAGGAGCGCUGUUUGAGUUGCAUCCUAGCCCAGCAGGUGCGGCCGGGCUAGGGUCAGGAUGGGGUAGGGCGGGGAUCCGCGGUUAAGUCCCCCGUGACGGCACGUUCCAUUCCCCUAGCCCGACCGGCUCCGGGAUGAAGAACUGGCUGAGCUGGAGGAUGCGCUGCGAAAUCUGAAGUGCGGCUCGGGGGCCCGGGGUGGCGACGGGGAGGUCGCUUCGGCCCCCUUGCAGCCCCCGGUGCCCUCUCUGUCGGAGGUGAAGCCGCCGCCGCCGCCGCCACCUGCCCAGACUUUUCUGUUCCAGGGUCAGCCUGUAGUGAAUCGGCCGCUGAGCCUGAAGGACCAACAGACGUUCGCGCGCUCUGUGGGUCUCAAAUGGCGCAAGGUGGGGCGCUCACUGCAGCGAGGCUGCCGGGCGCUGCGGGACCCGGCGCUGGACUCGCU
This 450-nucleotide long non-coding RNA is filed under the name Homo sapiens (human). RNAcentral describes it as "non-protein coding lnc-B3GNT9-1:1". Lineage: Eukaryota; Metazoa; Chordata; Mammalia; Primates; Hominidae. The record is from RNAcentral.